CAAAAGCUCAAAUUUGAAAUCUGGCUCUUUCAGAGUCCGAGUUGUAAUUUGAAGAAGGUAUCUUUGGGUCUGGCUCUUGUCUAUGUUUCUUGGAACAGAACGUCACAGAGGGUGAGAAUCCCGUGCGAUGAGAUGAUCCAGGCCUAUGUAAAGUUCCUUCGAAGAGUCGAGUUGUUUGGGAAUGCAGCUCUAAGUGGGUGGUAAAUUCCAUCUAAAGCUAAAUAUUGGCGAGAGACCGAUAGCGAACAAGUACAGUGAUGGAAAGAUGAAAAGAACUUUGAAAAGAGAGUGAAAAAGUACGUGAAAUUGUUGAAAGGGAAGGGCUUGAGAUCAGACUUGGUAUUUUGUAUGUUACUUCUUCGGGGGUGGCCUCUACAGUUUAUCGGGCCAGCAUCAGUUUGGGCGGUAGGAGAAUUGCGUUGGAAUGUGGCACGGCUUCGGUUGUGUGUUAUAGCCUUCGUCGAUACUGCCAGCCUAGACUGAGGACUGCGGUUUAUACCUAGGAUGUUGGCAUAAUGAUCUUAAGUCGCCCGUCUUGAAACACGGACCAAGGAGUCUAACGUCUAUGCGAGUGUUUGGGUGUAAAACCCGUACGCGUAAUGAAAGUGAACGUAGGUG
This 618-nucleotide ribosomal RNA is filed under the name Candida tropicalis. RNAcentral describes it as "partial large subunit ribosomal RNA". It matches the Rfam family "Eukaryotic large subunit ribosomal RNA", at positions 102 to 737 of the family's 3401-position model. Lineage: Eukaryota; Fungi; Ascomycota; Pichiomycetes; Serinales; Debaryomycetaceae. The record is from RNAcentral.